Molecule: transfer RNA, 74 nt
Filed under: Streptomyces phage BRock
Lineage: Duplodnaviria; Heunggongvirae; Uroviricota; Caudoviricetes
Description: tRNA-Gln
Rfam family: tRNA
About the family: Transfer RNA (tRNA) molecules are approximately 80 nucleotides in length. Their secondary structure includes four short double-helical elements and three loops (D, anti-codon, and T loops).
Source: RNAcentral
UGGGAUAUGGGGUAAUUGGCAGCCCGCCUGACUUUGGAUCAGGACAGUCUAGGUUCGAGUCCUAGUGUCCCAGC